Molecule: non-coding RNA, 848 nt
Organism: Pogona vitticeps (central bearded dragon)
Lineage: Eukaryota; Metazoa; Chordata; Lepidosauria; Squamata; Agamidae
Source: RefSeq, a predicted model, not a curated record
UAAACCUGUGUUAAUUUGAGGGGGGCGGGGAUCGGGUUUGCUGUCUGAGAAGUGACCCCCCUGCAGGGUGAUGGCACAGCGAGGAGGAUGGCCUGCUGGUCGAGAUGCCCGAUGGAGAUGUUCUGGAGAUCGCAGGUGGGGAGGUGGGAAUCUGUAUGAGGAGGUUUGUGCCUAGCUGGGGUUCUCCAAAAUCUUGGGGCUUCCGAAUUGCAGGUACCUCCUGGGAGACCAAGGAGUGGGUCAGGAAAAGAGCAUACCCACAUACAUCUGUUGGUGUAUCUCCCAGCUUAGUUGCCUACAGCGUGCACUAAGGGCAAGUUGGGCCAGGGUGAGAAAGUGGGCUUCUGGAGGAGGAUCUCAGGGUUGGAUGAUAGAGGAAAGCUGCAGUAUUCUCUUCACAUCUUUUCACCUUUCUCGUUCACCUUCCAGUGGGGUAAGUGUGUUGAGUUUUUUUGCGAUAAAACUUUGUAUUCAUUGUAAUAGAAACUUCUGUAGUUUCCAGUGUGUUUUACCAGGUACAAGAAUCUGAUCUGAUGCAAUUCAGAGUAAGCUUGCAGAGGUUUGCAUUGUCAGUCUUUAAGGAUUGACUUUCACUCUUAGUCUUUCAGUUGUUCUUGCACUCCGGUAAAAGUGUUUUUCGAUUCUUCUCUCAUUACCUUUGUAUGUCAGUACUUGGAAGUAUUGAAAAAAAUCCUGUUCAUCUGUAACCAGUUGAAUAUAUAGACUUUUGUACAGGUUUUCCAGAUGGCUUUCUUACACAGCAUUUCUGGUUUUGUCCGGAAACAUAUUUUGCACGAAAUAAUACUUGUUCCUCAAUCUUGCUGCAACUGAGCAGUUAAGUAGCAUUU